RNAcentral lists this non-coding RNA (45 nucleotides) under Pseudoxanthomonas spadix. RNAcentral's name for it is "Guanidine-II sequence". It matches the Rfam family "Guanidine-II riboswitch aptamer (mini-ykkC)". Rfam says of the family: Simpler in structure and has fewer highly conserved nucleotide positions than the ykkC-yxkD leader. Despite this each of its two stem-loop structures directly bind free guanidine. Therefore, mini-ykkC RNA motif represents a distinct class of guanidine-sensing RNAs. Lineage: Bacteria; Pseudomonadati; Pseudomonadota; Gammaproteobacteria; Lysobacterales; Lysobacteraceae. RNAcentral also lists the same sequence under 1 other name. The record is from RNAcentral.
CCCGCAGGACGACCUGCGGAUGAUCUUUUCCAGCGGGACGACCCG